This 468-nucleotide ribosomal RNA is filed under the name uncultured bacterium. RNAcentral describes it as "partial 16S ribosomal RNA". It matches the Rfam family "Bacterial small subunit ribosomal RNA", at positions 28 to 507 of the family's 1533-position model. The record is from RNAcentral.
GACGAACGCUGGCGGCGUGCUUAACACAUGCAAGUCGAACGGAAAGGCCCUGCUUUUGUGGGGUGCUCGAGUGGCGAACGGGUGAGUAACACGUGAGUAACCUGCCCUUGACUUUGGGAUAACUUCAGGAAGCUGGGGCUAAUACCGGAUAGGAGCUCCUGCUGCAUGGUGGGGGUUGGAAAGUUUCGGCGGUUGGGGAUGGACUCGCGGCUUAUCAGCUUGUUGGUGGGGUAGUGGCUUACCAAGGCUUUGACGGGUAGCCGGCCUGAGAGGGUGACCGGCCACAUAGGGACUGAGAUACGGCCCAGACUCCUACGGGAGGAAGCGGUGGGGAAUAUUGCACAAUGGGCGGAAGCCUGAUGCAGCAACGCCGCGUGCGGGAUGACGGCCUUUGGGUUGUAAACCGCUUUCGCCUGUGACGAAGCGUGAGUGACGGUAAUGGGUAAAGAAGCACCGGCUAACUACGUG